UGAACCUAUCCAAGUUUAUUUGAAUUUAAAUUUGUAGUUGUAAUUAUAUUUUGUAUUAAUUUGGUUGUAGUUAUAAUUAUUUAUUGCAUUUGUAAGUUUCUUAGAAAUAAGAUGAUUGGGGAAAUUUGGGUCAAAAUUGAGGAAAAAGCAGUGAAGAUAAUCCCGGGAAGUGAAUGAGAGACUUCCCAAUCCAGGUGUUGAAUGCAACAGUUUUUUCCUUUGAAAUGAACGACCUAAAGAGGAACAAUUUCGUUUGGUGUUGGCUUCUUUUUUGUUGUCAUUGGAUGGCCUAUCAUUGCCAUGGUAUUGGAGGCAUAUGGGUUUAUUGUGCUCUUUAGGUUAGAAUGGAGAAAAUCAGUGAAAGAAUGAAGUAUCUGCAAGAUUUAUACCAGGGGGUAACAAAAUCACAGGCAAAGCUGGUAUGCUUGAUGAAAUCAUCAAUUAUGUUCAAUCUCUUCAACGGCAAGUAGAGGGUCUUUAGGUACCAAAACGGCGCCGUUUGGCACGACCUGUGGGCGACCCAACCCUUACCCAGGAGGAUCCGCGUGUUUUUGUGACUAGGCCACCUACGCAAGCUGCACCUGCAACAGGUGGCGGCCGGCCUAGCCCUCCCUAGCGCACCUGCAACCUGCAAAAAAAGAAGAGAACAUCAAAAUAAAAUGGGUUUUAAAACCCCCAAAGCAAAGAAGAAAAGGGGAGAAGAAAAGCAAGAAAAAAAAAGCAAAAAUUUUUGAGAGAAAAAUAAAAAAAAUAACAGCACACCGCCGGCCAUAGCACCAGCGCCACCGUGCCCACCGCCGCAAAACCCCCAUCGCCGACACCUAGCAAAGCAAACAACAACCAAGAAGCAAAAAUAAAAAGAGCAAGAAGCAAGCAACAAACAAAAAUAAAAGAGAAAAAAGAAGAAAAGAAGGGAAGAGGAGACCACCGUGUGCGCCACCGCCGGCCGUCGCUGGGCAGCAGGUCACCGUCGGCAAAAGCAGAGGAAGAGGAAGGCCGAACGGAGAAGAAGAAGAAAAAAGAGAAGGAAAGGAAGAAGAAGAAGAAGAAAGAAAAAGAGAAUAAAGAGAAUAAAUAAAUAAUAUUUUUUGAAUAGUCGGGUCGACCCGACCCGACCCGGGGCUGACAAGACCCGAUUCCGGCCCGGACUGACGACCCGCGCCCGACCCAGUAGCCCAGCAGGCCCAGCAGUAGCAGGCCAACCCAAAAAAAGAGAAAAAAAACAAAAACAGAAAAAAAAGAAAGCAGGCCAUUUUUUAGCAGGCCAACAGUAGGCCCAAUUCCAGCAGCCCAGCAAGCAGCCAGUCUAGGCCCAAUCUGCCAGCAGUCCAGUAGGCCUAUUCCUGCGCAGGCCCAACAGCAGGCAGCCCAACAAGCCAGCGCAGCAGAAAAAAAAAGAGAAAGGAAAAAAGAAAAAAAAAAGAAGGAAAAAUGGUUCAAUUUGCGUAACUCGUUCGACCAAGCUCGUGUUUUGGAUCUUUUCGGCAUCUCAUUAUGAAGGUGUUGGUUAAAGAUUGGUUGCCAAAAACGAGUUUCUGAUGGAGGAGUCAAUUACACGAGUAACUGAGAAAAAUGCUGUAGUCCGAGAUUGGUCUUUGAGGACUCAAAAAGUAAAAGGAGACAGUUUAAAGGAAGGAUACACCUCUGAUCUUCCCGAGCAUGUGACUUUGAAUGCUCGUCAGAACGAUCUCGAAGACUUGACUAGGAUUUGGAAACAGUGGGACUUAGGCACUAGGGGCAUCUUCAUUGGCAAAAUAUUUUGUAAUCGACUCUUUUGAUAAUUGAAACGCCAAAAUAUGAGGCUAUCUUGAAAUCAACACCAUUUUUUGCAUAUUUACGCAUGACUAGCAUCCAUUGGUCAUUCAUUCAUUCAUUCAUUCAUUGUAUGUACAUAUCACCCUAACCAUUCACUAAGGCUAGAACCGCAUAAUCCACAGUUGUGACACUACAAGUCUGGAAUCACGUCAUUCUUAUAGAACGCAUUUAAGAGCUAGAACUAUGGAUGCUGAGCUCAACGAGAGUGAUACAAUUGAAGAUGUUUCAAUGAUACACCCCUGUCUUCCAGGAUAUGUUUUGAACAAUUGGACUGCAGUGGACCUUCUUGUAGUUUCUAAGUCCUCUCCAGAGUAAUGCCCAAUGUUACUUCUCCAUUUAUUUUGUGUGCCCCUAAAUAGUGGGAUUCCUUUUUUAAGAGCUU
This is an RNA transcript of Gossypium raimondii (Peruvian cotton), 2197 nucleotides long. RefSeq lists it as uncharacterized. NCBI's taxonomy places the organism in Eukaryota, Viridiplantae, Streptophyta, Magnoliopsida, Malvales, Malvaceae. The record is from RefSeq and is a predicted model, not a curated record. The transcript is spliced from 6 exons.